CGCCACAGCUCUUGUGCAUCCUCUAACGGUAGCAGCCACGCGCAGUGUGACUUGUAUGCGUUAGCUUGAUCGCAGAUGGCUGGAGUUCACUCCUCCACCACUUGGGUUUCUCCCCGCAUUGCAGACAACUGUGCGUGUUGCGGCCACCCCGACAUAGCUUUUUUUUUUUUUUUUUUUUUUUUUUUUUAAUCUUGCUGAUAUUAUUGCCAGGUUUGAACUGGUCAGCUGCGGACAACCAGACUUUUGUGGUUGUUAACUGUUUGGAGGUAAUCGGAAACCGAUUUUCAUCCUUGGGAAUCGGCGCAGUCUUGGAAUUGUGACCAUGCACAGCGGUAUUAUAAAAAAUUGAUGCGAUAUCCGAAUGUGACCAGUUUUUCAGCGACCAAGUGCUCGUGCUCUGAGAAGUGAAAGAAUGGCCGCGAUUAGGUAGUGUUCAGCAUCAAUCACGUCGCUUCAUCACGCGCCUCUAUCCUUCGCUGCUUGCACGACAGUGUAGUUUGCCGCUACUUGAAUUUUGAACAGUACAUCAGCUCAUGGCAUGAAUUGUUGGAGAAAUCGAAAGUGUUACGCGUAUGUAGCUCUCAUGACAGCACGCUUUGAGCUCGGCUUCUCGGACGACUGAAGCCUGCAGAUCAGUGUGGAUAUAAUCUUGUUCGGUUUUAACUGUCGGCGAACGAGAUUUCAUGUAAUUAUGAAUGCGGAAAUAAGUGUGGUUAUUGUUCAUUUGAGGGACUGCAGUCUUACAAAUCAUUAUUUUGAUGCUUUUAGACAUGUAAUUCCAGACAAUUUCAGAGGUCGUGGUUAAGUGUUCAAUAGAAAGACCGCUAUUUCCAGUAUUGGGUUCAGGAUAAUUGUGCGGCUUUUAGUUUAACUUGAGCAGAUAAAAGCCAUAGGCAUCUAUUACGUGAUGUUCGAUAAUACAGAUGGUACACAAAAAUGCGGGGAUCCACGUGAUGAUCUAUCACGAUUUGAGUCACUUGUAAAAUUUUCAUAAACAUAAGAGAGUCACUUUAUUCGCAUAGCAGAAUUCAACAUAUACAUUUCGAAGAAGAGUUGUUCGAUCAGUUCACCUUAAGUUUCAACUCUAAAAUCUGUUCUAACUAGAUGACCACUUUUGUUCGUUACUAAUGCAUACCCAACCCAUACUUUUCGCCAACACUCCCUCUCGCCUGGGGUUUCCCUCUUUUUCACAUUUUCCAUGUGAGGGUGCGCAUUCGCUGCCAUCUCAAGGUUCAGCACCUUGGCGCUCCAGGACCGAGUCGAACACCUCUCUACGUGGGAGCUGUUGCUCAUAGGUCCUUGGCUCCUGGUCACAGUUUUCAGAAAAGGGUGCGAUGUAGUAAUUUCCUACCCCUACUAGCUACUUUUCGAGACCCUUAAGCAAAUUAAAGAAGCAGCACUAGAGGCAGAGCAGAAUACAGGCUGCAAUGUAGUUUCCGAACCAGACACUUUGAUAGAGGAUGUCUUGUACGAAGACCUCCCUCUCAGCAGUGUAAGUUUUCUUGAGUUUGAGUCAUCAUCAUCUAAUGUAUUACUUCCUCAGCUACAGCUUGAUAUUAAAUUUGUAAGAAAGGAAAUUGUGAAUAGACUGUAAGCUGUGAAUAACCCAUUUUGGCUUAUGAGGCUACAUAGUUUGAAUAAAAGUUGGAAACAAGAAAUAGAAUCUACCGAUCAA
Physcomitrium patens is the source of this 1675-nucleotide non-coding RNA. The record is from RefSeq and is a predicted model, not a curated record. NCBI's taxonomy places the organism in Eukaryota, Viridiplantae, Streptophyta, Bryopsida, Funariales, Funariaceae.